AUACGUUCUUUACGCUCCAAGGCGCAAUAAAAAGGGCUUUGUGAAAACACUUUCACAUGAAGAAGCAAAUGCAGUCUAGGAUAGCCCUUUUUCUAUGCGUACCGUGUUUGAUGAGGUCGGUGUGAUAAAACUAUUUUCCCCUAGCUAAUUUGAUGAAAUGAGUUUUUUCCACAUGAUCAUUACGAAGCUAAUGGAUAAAGCUUGUAAACGGCAAGUUCCCAUGGAAACCACGGAUCAACUUAGGCAAAUGGCAUUUUGCUAAUAACGUGCACGAAACAAGGGCUAACACCAUUUACAGCUUUAAACGUAACCUUUCCAUUUUUGUUGUAGUGAUGGAUAGGUUUGUUCGAAAUCUCAAGUCUUGUGCAUUAUAGUGACAUCUCAAGUAGUGGAAUUUAUGUAUGGAUGGCAGCUCGUAAACAAAACAGGUCAUUCUAGAAGAACAAACAGUCUUUCAGAUUGAAUUAAUGAAUGUCUGGCUCUGCUCCUACCGAGCGCUUAUUGGUACCAUAUCAAUCUUGUGGACGUGAAAAAUCAAAUUCUCAUUCCUUUUGGCAGAAGACUAAAGGCGAGAGAAGUUCAUGAACAUGACUUCGUGUGAGAAAAUCUCCAGACUUAGUGAAGCACACGAAAUGACACUUAACAAUUUAGCUAUUGCACAAUUCCACAUUCAGAAACUACGAGACGAGAUUUUACGACUGGAUUAUUCAAUAGCACAAUCAAACGUGCGCCAACAAAGCCUGAACUGUGAAGCUAAAAAGUUACACCAGCAGGCACACGAAUUGGAUAGAAAAUGCAUACUUGCAUCCGUUGAAUUAAAAGGUUGGUCUAUGGUCUUCAGUAGAAUACAACGUGCAACAAGAAAAUAAGUUGGAAACAUAAGAGGGAGCGCAAUGCCUUGCGCUUGCUGUUGCGCAUGCGUCAAAGUCUCAAAAA
This is a long non-coding RNA of Nematostella vectensis (starlet sea anemone), 936 nucleotides long. RefSeq lists it as uncharacterized. The record is from RefSeq and is a predicted model, not a curated record. NCBI's taxonomy places the organism in Eukaryota, Metazoa, Cnidaria, Anthozoa, Actiniaria, Edwardsiidae. The transcript has 2 exons.